This 497-nucleotide ribosomal RNA is filed under the name uncultured bacterium. RNAcentral describes it as "partial 16S ribosomal RNA". It matches the Rfam family "Bacterial small subunit ribosomal RNA", at positions 28 to 507 of the family's 1533-position model. The record is from RNAcentral.
GACGAACGCUGGCGGCGUGCCUAAUACAUGCAAGUUGAGCGAUGAAGAUUGGUGCUUGCACCAAUUUGAAGAGCAGCGAACGGGUGAGUAACGCGUGGGGAAUCUGCCUUUGAGCGGGGGACAACAUUUGGAAACGAAUGCUAAUACCGCAUAACAACUUUAAACAUAAGUUUUAAGUUUGAAAGAUGCAAUUGCAUCACUCAAAGAUGAUCCCGCGUUGUAUUAGCUAGUUGGUGAAGUAAAGGCUCACCAAGGCGAUGAUACAUAGCCGACCUGAGAGGGUGAUCGGCCACAUUGGGACUGAGACACGGCCCAAACUCCUACGGGAGGCAGCAGUAGGGAAUCUUCGGCAAUGGACGAAAGUCUGACCGAGCAACGCCGCGUGAGUGAAGAAGGUUUUCGGAUCGUAAAACUCUGUUGGUAGAGAAGAACGUUGGUGAGAGUGGAAAGCUCAUCAAGUGACGGUAACUACCCAGAAAGGGACGGCUAACUACGUG